RNAcentral lists this ribosomal RNA (1388 nucleotides) under feces metagenome. RNAcentral's name for it is "bacterial SSU rRNA". It matches the Rfam family "Bacterial small subunit ribosomal RNA". The record is from RNAcentral.
AGAGUUUGAUCCUGGCUCAGGAUGAACGCUGGCGGCGCACUUAAGACAUGCAAGUCGAACGGAAAUUUAUUGAAAGCUUGCUUUUAAUGAAUUUUAGUGGCGGACGGGUGAGUAAUACGUAGGUAAUCUGCCUUAAAGAGAGGGAUAACUGAGAGAAAUCUUAGCUAAUACCUCAUAAGACCACACUGUGGCAUCACAGAGGGGUCAAAGGAGCAAUCCACUUUAAGAUGAGCCUACGGCUGAUUAGUUAGUUGGCGGGGCACCAAGACUAUGAUCAGUAGCCGGGCUGAGAGGCUGGCCGGCCACAUUGGGACUGAGACACGGCCCAGACUCCUACGGGAGGCAGCAGUCGGGAAUAUUGGACAAUGGGGGAAACCCUGAUCCAGUGACGCCGCGUGAAGGAAGAAGGUCUUCGGAUUGUAAACUUAUUUUAUUAGGGAAGAAACAAAUGACUGUACCUAAAGAAAAAGCACCGGCUAACUACGUGCCAGCAGCCGCGGUAAUACGUAGGGUGCAAGCGUUAUCCGGAUUUACUGGGUGUAAAGGGCGAGUAGACGGGAGAUUAAGUCAGAUGUGAAAACUUAGAGCUCAACUUUAAGACUGCAUCUGAAACUGGUUUUCUUGAGUGCUGGAGAGGUAAGCGGAAUUCCUAGUGUAGCGGUGAAAUGUGUAGAUAUUAGGAAGAACACCAGUGGCGAAGGCGGCUUACUGGACAGUAACUGACGUUGAGGAGCGAAAGUGUGGGGAGCAAACAGGAUUAGAUACCCUGGUAGUCCACACUGUAAACGAUGGAUACUAGGUGUUGGCAAGCGAUUGUCAGUGCCGGCGCUAACGCAAUAAGUAUCCCACCUGGGGAGUACGACCGCAAGGUUGAAACUCAAAGGAAUUGACGGGGGCCCGCACAAGCAGUGGAGUAUGUUGUUUAAUUCGACGCAACGCGAAGAACCUUACCAAGACUUGACAUAUACAGGAAUGAUUAAGAAAUUAGUCAGUUCUUCGGAACUUGUAUACAGGUGAUGCAUGGUUGUCGUCAGCUCGUGUCGUGAGAUGUUGGGUUAAGUCCCGCAACGAGCGCAACCCUCGUGACUAGUUGCUACUAUUUAGUUAGGGAACUCUAGUCAGACUGCCGUGGAUAACACGGAGGAAGGUGAGGAUGACGUCAAAUCAUCACGUCCCUUAUGUCUUGGGCUACAAACGUACUACAAUGGCUAUAACAAAGAGAAGCGAAUCCGCGAGGAGGAGCAAAACUGAUAAAAAUAGUCUCAGUUCGGAUUGCAGGCUGAAACUCGCCUGCAUGAAGCUGGAAUUGCUAGUAAUCACAGGUCAGCAUACUGUGGUGAAUACGUUCCCGGGCCUUGUACACACCGCCCGUCACACCAUGAGAGUUG